RNAcentral lists this long non-coding RNA (266 nucleotides) under Homo sapiens (human). RNAcentral's name for it is "HSALNT0385600". The record is from RNAcentral. Lineage: Eukaryota; Metazoa; Chordata; Mammalia; Primates; Hominidae.
CUGAAUGAAAUGAAAAGUUAAACUCUGUGAGUUGAACGCACACAUCACAGAGCAGUUUCUGAGAAUGAUUCUGUCGGGUUUUUAUACGAAGAUAUUUCCUUUUCUGCCUUUGACCUCAAGGCGCUUGAUGUCUCCACUUGCAAAUUGCACAAAAAGAGUGUUUCGAAUCUGCUCUGUCUAAAGGAAGGUUCAACUCUGUCAGUUGAAUACACACAACACAAAGAAGUUACUAAGAAUUCUUCCCUCUAGCAUUAUAUGGAGAAAUC